This is a long non-coding RNA of Leptopilina boulardi, 221 nucleotides long. RefSeq lists it as uncharacterized. The transcript is spliced from 2 exons. The record is from RefSeq and is a predicted model, not a curated record. Lineage: Eukaryota; Metazoa; Arthropoda; Insecta; Hymenoptera; Figitidae.
GGCUAUCCUGACUUGCAGUGAUCGAUAUCUUCUUUUUGUUAUAUUUAUUUAAAAUACGACCAAAAGCCUUCUCCCGAAGAAACAAUUCCAACAAGUGAAUUUUUCACCACAAGUGGACCACCCGAAUCACCUUGACAAGCAUCGUGACAACCUGAUUUGUAACCAGCACAAAUAUGACCACGUUCAAUGUAUCGUAAAUAAAUUCGACAUUCAAAAAAUGA